RNAcentral lists this ribosomal RNA (456 nucleotides) under Triticum aestivum (bread wheat). RNAcentral describes it as "partial small subunit ribosomal RNA". Lineage: Eukaryota; Viridiplantae; Streptophyta; Magnoliopsida; Poales; Poaceae. The record is from RNAcentral.
AUGAACCAAACCAGCUCUAAGACUCGCUUCGAUGGUUCUCUUGAGCGUUAUAAAGCUCGUCUUGUGGCUCGUGGCUUUCAGCAGGAGCAUGGUCGUGAUUACAAUGAGACUUUUGCUCAUGUGGCCCAUAUGACCAAUGUUCGCACACUCCUCGCAGUGGCCUCUGUUCACCACUGGUCCGUGUCCCAGCUUAAUGUUAAGAAUGCCUUUCUUAAUGGUGAGUUGCGUGAGGAAGUUUAUAUGCAGCCACCACCUGGGUAUUCAGUUCCUGAUGGCAUGGUUUGUCAUCUUCGUCACUCUCUCUAUGACCUUAAACAAGCCCCCCGCACUUGGUUUGAGCGUUUUGCCUCGGUGAUCACUUCAGCUGGUUUUUCGCCAGUGCUCAUGAUCCAGCGUUGUUUGUCCACCUUUCUGCUCGUGGUCGCACUCUUCUUCUUCUAUAUGUUGAUGACAUGA